RNAcentral lists this long non-coding RNA (524 nucleotides) under Cricetulus griseus (Chinese hamster). RNAcentral describes it as "lncRNA (ENSCGRG00000025866.1)". The record is from RNAcentral. Lineage: Eukaryota; Metazoa; Chordata; Mammalia; Rodentia; Cricetidae.
CUGGAUUCCAGGAGUAUGGUUCCAGUGCUUAGCUGUGGAUGCCUGUUUCUGCUUGGAAGAGCCAAGCUCUUGAAGGCUCUAGGAAUGGUAAACAAGCCCUACUGGCCCGAACCAAAUCAUGCUACAAGUCAAGUGUCAAGUUACACCAAAGGAGGAUACGAUGUAAUGGGUGAGCUACAGACCCUGGAGCACACAGGCUGAGAUAAAAUCUCCACUCCAUCACAUACCACAUACUCUACCACUGUGACCCCGGACAAGUAGAUUUCUAUCUUCUUAAUUGUCUUGCAGAGCUGUUGUAGGAGUUAAGAGCAGAGUACAGUGUCUCGUGCACAGUACUCAAUAUACAUGAAGAAAGAAUUCUGCUUAUUUCUUGAGUAAGGGAGCAAUGAUAUUUCUGCUAUUAUUUGACACACAGGCACAAAGAUGAUAAUUUAAUUCCCUUUUGUUUUAUCCCCCACAGUUAUGAUUGCAAUCAUCCAAGUUACAAUCACAUUAUUUGGGAUAGUUGUUAUCUAACAAUAAAG